UAUCAACUCUCCCUGGUUGAUUAAAGGU
RNAcentral lists this small RNA (28 nucleotides) under Bombyx mori (domestic silkworm). Its description in RNAcentral is "ovarian small RNA-23475". The record is from RNAcentral. Lineage: Eukaryota; Metazoa; Arthropoda; Insecta; Lepidoptera; Bombycidae.